This 114-nucleotide ribosomal RNA is filed under the name Escherichia coli. RNAcentral describes it as "partial 16S ribosomal RNA". It matches the Rfam family "Bacterial small subunit ribosomal RNA", at positions 1 to 105 of the family's 1533-position model. The record is from RNAcentral. Lineage: Bacteria; Pseudomonadati; Pseudomonadota; Gammaproteobacteria; Enterobacterales; Enterobacteriaceae.
UUAAAUUGAAGAGUUUGAUCAUGGCUCAGAUUGAACGCUGGCGGCAGGCCUAACACAUGCAAGUCGAACGGUAACAGAAAGCAGCUUGCUGCUUUGCUGACGAGUGGCGGACGG